RNA transcript from Meriones unguiculatus (Mongolian gerbil), 4454 nucleotides. It is a transcript of the gene named WD repeat domain 19, with no coding region annotated. NCBI's taxonomy places the organism in Eukaryota, Metazoa, Chordata, Mammalia, Rodentia, Muridae. The transcript is spliced from 38 exons. The record is from RefSeq and is a predicted model, not a curated record.
CGGUCUCCCGGGUGACGGGAACGCGGUAGCCGGGAGGGGGAGUUCUGGUGCGCCUGCGCACUUACAAGAUCGGGGUGCCGCAGGAGCCUUGAAAUGAAGCGUGUUUUCUCCCUGCUAGAAAAGAGUUGGCUUGGUGCUCCAAUACAAUUUGCCUGGCAAAAAUCAUCAGGAAACUACCUUGCAGUAACAGGAGCUGAUUUUAUUGUUAAAAUCUUUGAUCGCCAUGGCCAGAAAAGAAGUGAAAUUAACUUACUUGGCAACUGUGUUGCCAUGGAUUGGGAUAAAGAUGGUGAUAUCCUGGCGGUGAUUGCUGAGAAGUCCAGCUGUAUUUAUCUAUGGGAUGCCAACACCAAUAAAACCAGCCAGCUAGACAAUGGCAUGAGGGAUCAGAUGUCUUUCCUUCUUUGGUCAAAAGUUGGAAGCUUCCUGGCUGUUGGGACCAUUAAAGGAAAUUUGCUCAUUUAUAAUCAUCAGACAUCUCGAAAGAUUCCUGUUCUUGGAAAGCAUACUAAGAAAAUCACAUGUGGAUGCUGGAAUACAGAGAAUCUUCUUGCUUUGGGAGGUGAAGAUAAAAUGAUUACAGUUAGUAACCAGGAGGGAGACACAAUAAGACAGACACCAGUGAAAUCAGAGCCAAGUGACAUCAAGUUUUCUACAAGCAAGACCGAUGACCGAAUUCCUGCUUCUGAAAACAUAAUAAGCGUAGUAGUUGGCAAGAAAAUGUUGUUUCUUUUUCAUCUGAAUGAACCAGAUAAUCCAGUUGAUCUGGAGUUUCAGCAAGCCUAUGGCAACAUCGUCUGCUACAGUUGGUAUGGUGAUGGCUACAUCAUGAUUGGUUUUUCCCGAGGAACAUUUCUGGCUAUUUCUACUCACUUUCCAGAAGUUGGGCAAGAGAUAUUUAAGGCUCGAGACCAUAAGGAUAAUCUGACUAGUGUGGCAUUGUCACAGACUCUGAACAAAGCUGCUACCUGUGGAGAUAACUGCAUAAAAAUCCAUGAUUUGACAGAAUUAAGAGACAUGUAUGCUAUAAUUAAUCUGGAUGAUGAAAAUAAAGGGUUGGGUACCUUGUCCUGGACUGAUGAUGGUCAGUUGCUAGCUCUGUCUACCCAAAGAGGCUCUCUGCAUGUCUUCCUGACCAAGUUGCCCAUCCUCGGAGAUGCCUGUCACACGAGGAUUGCGUAUCUCACCUCCCUGCUGGAGGUCACUGUGGCCAACCUCAUUGAAGGAGAGCCGCAGAUCACAGUUUCCGUUGAUGUGGAGCCCAGCUUUGUCGCAGUAGGUCUCUACCAUCUGGCUGUGGGGAUGAAUAAUCGAGCAUGGUUUUACGUCCUUGGCGAAAAUGCUGUAAAAAAGUUAAAAGAUGUGGAAUAUCUGGGGACAGUAGCCAGCAUCUGCCUCCAUUCUGACUACGCUGCUGCACUUUUUGAAGGCAAAAUCCAGUUGCAUUUGAUAGAAAAUGAAAUCUUGGACGCUCAGGAAGAACGUGAGACUAGGCUCUUCCCAGCAGUGGACGAUAAGUGCCGGAUUUUAUGCCACGCCCUAACUAGCGAUUUCCUCAUCUAUGGAACUGAUACUGGCAUUAUUCAGUAUUUCUUCAUUGAAGACUGGCAGUUUGUUAAUGAUUAUCGACAUCCUGUUGGUGUGAAAAAGCUAUUUCCUGAUCCAAAUGGAACCAGAUUAGCUUUCAUUGAUGAGAAAAGUGAUGGAUUUGUUUACUGUCCUGUUAACGAUGCUACCUACGAGAUCCCAGACUUCUCGCCAACCAUUAAAGGUGUUCUUUGGGAAAACUGGGCGAUGGAUAAAGGCGUAUUCAUCGCCUAUGAUGAUGAUAAGGUGUACACUUACGUGUUUCACAAGGACACCAUCCAAGGAUCCAAGGUUAUUUUGGCUGGUGGCACUAAACUUCCCUUUUCCCACAAACCUUUGCUGCUAUACAAUGGGGAACUGACCUGCCAGACACAGAGUGGGAAAAUCAACUCCAUCUACCUCAGCACCCACAGCUUCCUUGACAACAUAAAAGAGGCGGAGCCUUCUGACCUGAGGCAGAUGCUGACGCAGACCCUGAUGCUCAAGCGGUUUUCUGAUGCUUGGGAAAUCUGCAAGACCCUGAAUGACCGCGCAGCAUGGGGUGAGCUGGCCAGGGCCUGUCUACAUCACAUGGAGGUGGAGUUCGCCAUCCGGGUUUCCAGGACCAUGGGGGAUGUUGGCACCGUGAUGUCCUUGGAACAAAUAAAGGGAAUUGAGGACUACAAUCUUUUGGCAGGACAUCUCGCCAUGUUUACUAAUGACUUCAACCUGGCUCAGGACCUGUACCUGGCAUCUAACUGUCCUAUAGCGGCCCUGGAGAUGAGGCGGGACCUGCAGCACUGGGACAGCGCCCUGCAGCUGGCGAAGCGCCUGGCCCCGGACCAGAUACCUUUCAUCUCCAAAGAGUACGCCAUCCAGCUGGAGUUCACGGGUGAUUAUGUAAAUGCCUUGGCUCAUUACGAGAAAGGGAUCACAGGCGAUAAUAAGGAACAUGAUGAGGUGUGCCUGGCCGGAGUGGCUCAGAUGUCCAUAAGGAUGGGAGACAUCCGCAGAGGGGCUAACCAAGCCCUCAGACACCCCAGCAGGGUCCUGAAGAGAGACUGCGGAGCCAUACUGGAGAACAUGAAGCAAUUUUCAGAAGCAGCACAGCUGUAUGAAAAGGGCCAGUAUUACGACAGAGCCGCCUCUGUCUACAUCCGCUGCAAGAAUUGGGCAAAAGUUGGCGAGCUUCUGCCUCAUGUCUCCUCUCCUAAGAUCCACUUGCAGUAUGCCAAAGCCAAAGAGGCAGACGGAAGGUACAAAGAGGCCGUGGUGGCUUAUGAAAAUGCAAAGCAGUGGAACAGUGUUAUCCGCAUCUACCUGGACCACCUCAACAACCCAGAAAAGGCCGUCAGCAUCGUCAGAGAGACCCAGUCUCUGGACGGAGCCAAGAUGGUAGCCAGGUUCUUUCUACAGCUUGGUGACUAUGGGUCUGCCAUCCAGUUUCUGGUCCUGUCCAAAUGUAACAAUGAAGCCUUCACCCUGGCCCAGCAGCACAACAAAAUGGAAAUCUAUGCUGACAUCAUUGGCUCUGAAGACACGACUAAUGAAGACUAUCAAAGCAUUGCCUUGUAUUUUGAAGGAGAAAAGAGACAUUUUCAGGCUGGAAAGUUCUUCUUGCUGUGUGGCCAGUAUUCACGGGCACUAAAGCACUUCCUGAAAUGCCCAAGCUCAGAAGAUAAUAUUGCAAUAGAAAUGGCGAUUGAAACUGUGGGCCAGGCCAAAGACGAGCUGCUAACCAACCAGCUGAUAGACCACCUGAUGGGGGAGAGUGACGGCAUGCCGAAGGAUGCCAAGUACCUGUUCCGCUUGUACAUGGCGCUGAAACAGUACCGUGAAGCCGCCCGGACCGCCAUCAUCAUUGCCAGAGAAGAGCAGUCUGCAGGAAACUAUCGGAAUGCACAUGAUGUGCUUUUCAGUAUGUAUGCAGAACUUAAAUCCCAGAGGAUCAAGAUCCCCUCGGAGAUGGCUACCAACCUUAUGAUCCUGCACAGUUACAUACUGGUGAAGAUUCAUGUUAAGAGUGGAGACCACAUGAAGGGGGCACGCAUGCUCAUUCGGGUGGCCAACAACAUCAGCAAGUUCCCAUCUCACAUUGUGCCCAUCCUGACAUCUACCGUGAUUGAGUGUCACCGGGCAGGCCUGAAGAACUCCGCCUUCAGCUUUGCAGCUAUGCUGAUGAGGCCCGAAUACCGCAACAAAAUUGAUGCCAAAUACAAAAAGAAAAUCGAGGCGAUGGUCAGGAGACCAGACACAUCUGAGACAGAAGAGGCCACAACCCCGUGUCCAUUCUGCCAGUUUCUUCUCCCAGAAUGUGAGCUGCUCUGUCCCGGCUGUAAAAACAACAUUCCCUACUGCAUCGCAACAGGCCGACACAUGCUGAAAGAUGACUGGACGAUGUGCCCGCACUGUGGCUUUCCUGCGCUGCACUCAGAAUUCAAGAUCUUGCUAAACAGUGAAAGCACAUGUCCCAUGUGCUCAGAGAGACUAAACUCAAGUCAACUGAAAAAGAUUUCAGACUGCACCCAGUACCUGCGGUCAGAGACGGAGCAGUGAGCAGCAGGCCCAGGAACACACGCUCUCUACAGCCUGCCAAGCAUCCCCACGACGGGGUUCCUGAAUAGAUGGCAUCUCCCUGCAGGAAGCUGUGUCCGCCCAUGGUAGACUCAAAGGAUGACCCUCCCUGGACACAGGAACAAGACACAGGCCAGCACAUCCAGCUUCUGCAGUGACAUAAGCUGCUGCUUACUGAACUUUGUAUAUUGCCUCUUUGAAGUCCUACACACUCUGUACUCUGUACCGUUUAAUAGUAUAUCAAUUGUAAAUACCCAGUUUUUUAGUAACUUUUAUAUUUAAGUAUCUCCUCUGAAAUAAAAUUGUUGACUAGA